GAACAGGUUUUUAUAAAAACCAUUUUAAAAAAAAUAUUAAAAUGUAU
Molecule: non-coding RNA, 47 nt
Organism: Rhodnius prolixus
Lineage: Eukaryota; Metazoa; Arthropoda; Insecta; Hemiptera; Reduviidae
Source: Rfam